Molecule: ribosomal RNA, 509 nt
Filed under: uncultured archaeon
Lineage: Archaea
Description: bacterial SSU rRNA
Rfam family: Archaeal small subunit ribosomal RNA
Source: RNAcentral
CACGUGGAUAACCUACCCUGAAGCGGGGCAUAAUCUCGGAAAACUGAGGAUAAUACCCCAUAGGUCUUCGAUACUGGAAUGUUCCUAGGCUGAAAGCUACGGCGCUUCAGGAUGGGUCUGCGGCCUAUCAGGUUGUAGUGAGUGUAAUGGACUCACUAGCCGACGACGGGUACGGGCUGUGGGAGCAGUUGCCUGGAGAUGGACUCUGAGACACGAGUCCAGGCCCUACGGGGCGCAGCAGGCGCGAAAACUUCGCAAUGCGCGGAAGCGCGACGAGGGGAUUCCAAGUGCAUGCACUCUGUGUAUGCUGUUUACUAGUCUAAAACGCUAGUAGAGUAAGGGCUGGGUAAGACUGGUGCCAGCCGCCGCGGUAAUACCAGCGGCCCUAGUGGUGAUCGUUAUUAUUGGGCCUAAAGCGUCCGUAGCCGGUCCGGUAAAUCUCUGGGUAAAUCGUUGGGCUUAACUCAACGAAUUCUGGGGAGACUGCCGGACUUGGGACCGGGAGAGGU